CGUGUUUUCAUUAUAAUGAAAAAUGAGAGCUGAGUUUAUUACUAGGUAAAAAAGUAAUUUGUAAUGAAGAGUGUUCUGCUUCUAAUAGAUCAUCAACUACCAAACUACAAUACUCUUUUCUGUAGAGUUUUAAUCUUAUGCCUCUUUUUCAAAUAUUUGGUUCUACGGCUGGAUCGUCAAUUAAACUUACAUUCUUGUAAAAAAUUAUUUUUCAGAGGAAAAUAUAUUGACUUUGUCUUGUAAGCACAGUAAAAAUAAAUUUUUACUUCGGAUACAGAAGAAAUAUAACCCGCUUUAUCAAAUAAUAAUAAUAAUAAUAAUAAUAGUCUACUUCAUAAAUGACCACAGAGAAAUACAAAUAACAACGAUAAUAACUCGAUUGAGAGAGAUCCAAGUCAGUGUCUCAAGAGUGCAAAAGCGGAGAAGAGAAGUGUGGUCGCAACGACGGCGCCGGAGACUGGCAAAGAGAACGCAUCUCCUUUGUCCGGUGAAGGCGCCGGUGCCUGAGCAGAGACAGCGAUGGAGAGAGCCACGAGGGCGUACGUUAGCAAGGAGGCCUUCACAAUCCUGCUAAUAAGUUGCGCCAUUGGAAUUCUCAAAAGAAAGGGAAAAGUGUGACUACCGUGUCCGUGUGAGACUCUAUGGUUCCUUGGUGUCGAAACUAUAUAGAGCGGUUGUGGGGUCCACAGAGUAAAAAUGACAGCUGGUGACAGGAAAUUAUUAAUAAUGUUUAACAGAACAGAACAAAACACAGGUAUGCAGUCUGCUGAUAGAUAGAUAAAGUAGUGUGUG
This 792-nucleotide long non-coding RNA is filed under the name Olea europaea subsp. europaea. The record is from RNAcentral. Lineage: Eukaryota; Viridiplantae; Streptophyta; Magnoliopsida; Lamiales; Oleaceae.